AAAGCACCUACUCGCGAACGGUCACACGUAUUUUCAGUUUUUGAGAACACAGUUUGAUGAACUUUAUCCGAAAUUUGAGAAAUUUCAAAAUUUCAACGAGUCCAGGCAGGGGUUGCUAAAGUUUCGCCUCGCUCAGCGUGCGCCAUUGACUUUGGCGUGGAAAUCAAAGUGAAACCGCCUACUCCGUUGCCCAAGAAACCCAUACACACACACACACAGCCACACACCCACAAAACGGCAGACAGGAGGAUUUUCCGCUUGCAAUUAUUUCGUUGAGGGUUUCCUUGAAGUUUCCGGCAAUUUCCAUGACGGACCGCGAGCGUAGCAUUCACGAGAUGCUGAAGGAUGCGCCCUCGCUGAACGACAGCUGUGGAGCGGUGCACACGGGCACAGAAGGAGGCAGCCUGGUCCUUGGCAGCGCCAGCAGCCACAGCAUCGCCGGAGGAGGAGGUGGCGGAGGCGGUGGAUGUGGAGUUGGCGGCCCUUUUGGUGCUCCCAACAGUCUGCCACUAAGGAACCAUUCAGCACCCACCACACCCAUGUCGCCCAGUAGUCCACCAUCCGGAAACGGCAUCCUAAGUCCCACGGAAAGCGGGAGCAGCAGCAUUAUCCGCACUAGCGCCUCCAAGAUCGACAGUCUCAAAAACUGGAGUAUAUCGACGUACAAGUGCACUCGACAGAUUAUGCUGGAGAAGUUGGGCAAGUCGCAGCGCACCGUCGACUCGGAACUGGAAGCGCAGAUUGAGCAGUUGCGCGAAACGCAGCGCAAGUAUCUGUCCAUCUUAAGGUUAACGCGGGCCUUCAGCUCGCACUUCCAGCACGUGGUCGUCACACAGCACGCCCUGGCCGACUCCUUCGCCGAUCUGGCCCAAAAGAAUCCCGAGCUGCAGAAGGAGUUCACGUGCAAUUCGGAGACGCAGCGCAACCUCACCAAGAACGGUGAACUGCUGCUCAAUGCGCUCAACUUCUUCAUUUCGUCGGUAAACACGCUGUGCAACAAGACGAUCGACGACACACUACUGACGAUACGACAGUACGAAACGGCCAGAAUCGAGUUCGAUGCCUACCGCAUGGACUUGGAGAACACCAAGCCGGAGCUGACACCCUCGGCUGCCGCACUGGAGGAGACCCAGCGGAGCUAUGCGCAGCACAAGGAGCAGUACGAGAAGCUGCGCUCUGACGUGGCGGUCAAAAUGCAGUUCCUCGACGAGAAUCGCAUUAAAGUGAUGCACAAGCAACUGAUUCUGCUGCACAAUGCCAUCGCUGCCUACUUCUCGGGCAAUGCCAUGGCACUGGAGAGCACUCUAAAGCAGUUCAACAUAAAGCUAAAGUCACCCAAUGCCGUCACUGGUUCCUGGCUGGAGCAGUAGAGUCAGUAGAAUCACGAGCACGUUGCGGACGGCGCUAAGGCGCCUAUAUUGGAGGAGACCAGAUCCGGCGUCCACAUCCACUCACUUGCUGAACGAGCACGCUCUCUAAAAAAAAGAAAUCGGAUGCAGAAAAAAUUCAAUAUGCAAUGCAGUGCAUUGACACUGCACGACGAACCAUAACAAUAUUUUCGUGCUAAGUUUAAGUCGAAUUCCUAAGAAGUUUAUUGCGAUAAUUUUGAUAGAUCCACGCCAAACAAAUGGGCACGUUGUGUUGCGGUGCUGCCAACUCGCUGCG
This 1665-nucleotide unclassified non-coding RNA is filed under the name Drosophila yakuba. Its description in RNAcentral is "GE24633". Lineage: Eukaryota; Metazoa; Arthropoda; Insecta; Diptera; Drosophilidae. The record is from RNAcentral.